Molecule: long non-coding RNA, 317 nt
Organism: Perca flavescens (yellow perch)
Lineage: Eukaryota; Metazoa; Chordata; Actinopteri; Perciformes; Percidae
Exons: 3
Source: RefSeq, a predicted model, not a curated record
GUGUGUUCCGUUAACUUGACGCCGGUCCUCGAUGAUAACAGAGGUACCGAUUCCUCUGGAAAUACCGGCCAGAUUCGGCAUUUUCCAGCCGGUAAACCAGCAGAAAUGAGAGCUAGAAGGAUUUAACGGAGACUAACGGACCCGCGGGGCUUGAAAAAGAGAUGCUGAGUCGCCCGCUGACUCUGUGUGACGACAGGGGGCGGGGCCUGACAGCGGUGACUCCGCCCCCUGCGCUCCCAUUGGCUGAUGAGGGUGAUGACGACACAGAGACACAAACAGGAGGUUUUCUCCCCCCUCUCUCCUCCCCUUUCCCCCCU